Long non-coding RNA from Zingiber officinale, 437 nucleotides. RefSeq lists it as uncharacterized. The transcript has 2 exons. The record is from RefSeq and is a predicted model, not a curated record. Lineage: Eukaryota; Viridiplantae; Streptophyta; Magnoliopsida; Zingiberales; Zingiberaceae.
GCAGCAUCUCACGCAAAGUUCUUCCCCAUCACUCACUGGCUUCGCAGACAUCAAAGCUUCAGCAGGGUGUCACUCCUUUUUCACUAUCUGAAUCUGGUUCCUCUACUGAUAGCACUUUGAUGGGGAGGAAAAGCAAGAAGCAAAAAGGUGAAUGAUUAGCCAUGGCAUCAUUGGCAUGGUGGGUUGCAGGGAGCUGCAUCUACAGAUCUACUGCAUCGGUUGGCUCGUUGACUCUGAUGCGUUUGGUGGGAAAAGGUGCGUUUGGUGGGAAAAAGGUUCAAUUUUCUAAUGAAGCUUUGAUGCCAUGCAUCAAGAUUAUUCAAGAUGAUGAAACAUCGAGACUGCUAGAGUUGUAGCUAGUUAAUUCCUCUCUGUUUAGUCACUUUUCAUUCUUCUUCUUCCAUGGAAAACUCAACUCAGUAUCGUCACUUCUCCCA